RNAcentral lists this ribosomal RNA (480 nucleotides) under uncultured bacterium. RNAcentral describes it as "partial 16S ribosomal RNA". It matches the Rfam family "Bacterial small subunit ribosomal RNA", at positions 28 to 523 of the family's 1533-position model. The record is from RNAcentral.
GAUGAACGCUGGCGGCGUGCUUAACACAUGCAAGUCGAACGAUUAAAGCUCUCUUCGGAGAGUGUAUAGAGUGGCGAACGGGUGAGUAACACGUGGGCAACCUACCCCCCGCUCCAGGAUAACUCAGGGAAACUUGAGCUAAUACCGGAUACUCCGUAAGGAUCGCAUGGUCCUUUCGGGAAAGUUCCGGCGGCGAGGGAUGGGCCCGCGGCCCAUUAGCUAGUUGGUGAGGUAAUGGCCCACCAAGGCAACGAUGGGUAGCCGAGCUGAGAGGCUGAUCGGCCACACUGGGACCGAGACACGGCCCAGACUCCUACGGGAGGCAGCAGUGGGGAAUUUUGCGCAAUGGGCGAAAGCCUGACGCAGCAACGCCGCGUGCGGGAUGAAGGCCUUCGGGUUGUAAACCGCUUUCAGCAGGGACGAAACUGACUGUACCUGCAGAAGAGGCCCCGGCUAACUACGUGCCAGCCGCCGCGGUAA